GCAGACACAUUCCAGCCAAUCAGCAGGAGACCCUCCCUCCCAGACCCUCCCACCUCCUGGACAGCAUCCAUUGUGAAGCUGCAUUCUUAGUGAGCUGUCCAGGAGAUGGAAGGGUCUGGGAGGGAGGGUCUGCUGCUGAUUGGCUGGGAUGUGUCUG
Molecule: non-coding RNA, 157 nt
Organism: Pelobates cultripes (western spadefoot toad)
Lineage: Eukaryota; Metazoa; Chordata; Amphibia; Anura; Pelobatidae
Source: the annotation of a GenBank genome assembly